GAUGAACGCUGGCGGCGUGCCUAAUACAUGCAAGUCGAGCGAACGGACGAGAAGCUUGCUUCUCUGAUGUUAGCGGCGGACGGGUGAGUAACACGUGGAUAACCUACCUAUAAGACUGGGAUAACUUCGGGAAACCGUAGCUAAUACCGGAUAAUAUUUUGAACCGCAUGGUUCAAAAGUGAAAGACGGUCUUGCUGUCACUUAUAUAUGGAUCCGCGCUGCAUUAGCUAGUUGGUAAGGUAACGGCUUACCAAGGCAACGAUGCUUAGCCGACCUGAGAGGGUGAUCGGCCACACUGGAACUGAGACACGGUCCAGACUCCUACGGGAGGCAGCAGUAGGGAAUCUUCCGCAAUGGGCGAAAGCCUGACGGAGCAACGCCGCGUGAGUGAUGAAGGUCUUCGGAUCGUAAAACUCUGUUAUUAGGGAAGAACAUAUGUGUAAGUAACUGUGCACAUCUUGACGGUACCUAAUCAGAAAGCCACGGCUAACUACGUG
Molecule: ribosomal RNA, 497 nt
Filed under: uncultured bacterium
Lineage: Bacteria
Description: partial 16S ribosomal RNA
Rfam family: Bacterial small subunit ribosomal RNA
Source: RNAcentral